Molecule: long non-coding RNA, 1823 nt
Organism: Juglans regia (Persian walnut)
Lineage: Eukaryota; Viridiplantae; Streptophyta; Magnoliopsida; Fagales; Juglandaceae
Exons: 2
Source: RefSeq, a predicted model, not a curated record
CAUAUUCCACCUUCCAGAAUACUCUUACUCUCUCUCUUCUCUCUCUCUCUCUCUCUCCCUCUCCCUCUCUCUCUUUGUGAAACCCUAGCAUUCCUGUUGUUUAUCCAUCUACGCCAGUGACUAGUAGAGGUUGGCGUCUGCUACUCUCGGUAUGUUCCUCUUUCCUCUCUCUCUCUCUCUCUCUCUCUCUCUACUCUUUCUGGCUAGGGUUUUGUCUACCAUCAUGUGUUUCAGUGCAUGGAGUCGGGCCCAUGGCCAACCUCUGAGGCACUCUGAUGAAAAUCUAUCUUUAUCCCGAUUGAGGCAAGAUUAGGCCAAAUAAAGCAAAAAGUUCGACUCAAAAGUUGUAUCUCCACUUAGAUGAUAAUAAUCAUGAGAACAAUAGUGUAUAUUUCUAUUUUUUCCUAUUGGAAGAAACAUUCAGAGCAUCGUUGAUUCCGAAGUACUCAAGAACAGAAGAGGGAAGUUUGGGGAUCUUGAAAGGCAUACCAGCUCAGAGACACCGGGUCAACUCAUGCUAGUUUUCCUGCCCCGUAUCCCAUGAUUUCCAUCCUUCUUCCUCACUAGUUAGUAGUUGGGUUUUAUCAAAUUUCAUGCGCUUGCAAUUUUUCUGCCCCCCAUUAUUUAAAUAUUCGGUCCUUACGGUUCUGGAUCUAGUGCAUGGAUUCUUGAAUUUUAGGAUUUUUUGUCUUGUUUUGUUUGCGUUGCUUUUAUCCUCGAACCGAUAUUUCUAGGGCGAUUUCGAGAUUUAGGGUUUCAAUUGCUAUCUUGUAGCCUACAAAAAAUCAUGCUUGUAGGCAAGGGGAGUUGGUGUCAUUUUUGACACUUUUUCUUUCACUAUAUAUAGUCUGCUACCUUAAAAACUUGUUUAUAGUUAUGCAAAAUCUAGUGACAGCUGCUUCAGGUGUUAAAAAAAAAAAAAAAACUUAAUGAUGGUCAAUAAUAUCUUCAGUUUAAUGUACAAAUCCCUAGCUUUUUUCACCUUUUAUUUCAUUUUUAUUUUUGGUUUUUAAGAUUUUCGCUUCUUCAACAGCAGGAAUAAAUUAAGAAGAGGUGGGGGGGAACUAUGGAAAAUGGCAUUAUCAGGUUGGCAUGGUGUUCCCAAUUAAAAUUGAAAGAGAUUCAUUUGGAGUUUUAUGUUAAUUAAUUGAUGUGGGAUUAUGAGUUGGUGUAGUAGUAGUUUCUGGUUUUGUUUUUUAUGAAUUCUCUUUGUUUAGGAGUCCUUUCCAGAUACAAGAGUUUCCAAACUAAUUCUGGAUAAACUUUUCUAAGAAGAUGGAAUGAACUCCUUCUACAUGCCCUGUUUUCCCCCAAUUCUGUAUCAUAAUUUCUCAAAAUCCCUUUGUUAUCUUUGCUAACUUCUCUAUUGUUGGAAUGAAUGUUGUCUGUUUUGGAUAACUCAAAUAAUCAAGCAAUGAUUCAAACGUAAAAGUGAAGCGAAUCUGGUAUAAUGCUACACCAUGCAAUCACAUUUUUUUUUUUUUACUUUUCUUUUCUUUUCUUUGUUUAAUGCUGCACCACCUUUGCUUGUUCAUAAGUCUGUGAUUUUCUAUUACAUUUCAAUUUAACUGCUACUGACUUUGUUUUUUCUGUGAAGUGUUCAGAAUUCUUUUAAAUGUGAUUGAAAUUCUUUGAGAUCAACAGCGGAGGAAAUUUGAAAAUGGUUGUAUUCAUGGAUAUAAAUCAUUGUGAUGAGAAACUCAUAGAUUUGUUCAUUGCAAAAUUGUUGUUUUGCAAAAUUGUUGUUUUGCAUUGUGAUGUAAACAAUGUAAUAUGUAGUAUAUUGUGUGUUGAUGUCUAUUAUUAUUUAUUUCGUUUUAUAA